This is a ribosomal RNA of 307 nucleotides. It matches the Rfam family "Bacterial large subunit ribosomal RNA", at positions 2012 to 2531 of the family's 2925-position model.
AUAACUGUCUCCUCGUGGCUUAAUAGAAAUUAUUUUUUAGGUGAAGAAGCCUGAAUUAAAUUGAAAGACAAGAAGACCCUAUCGAGCUUUAAAGAAGUUAAUAAGUUUAAAAAUGAUGUUUAUCAAAAUAUUAAUUAUUACAUUUUUUAGUUGGGGCGACAAAGGAACCAAAAAAGCUUCCUUUAUUAAAUAAAUACUUUCAAGUAUUGAUCCAAAGUAUUUUGAUUAAAGAAAAUAGUUACAGUAGGGAUAACAGCAUCAUCUUUUUUGAGAGCUCUUAUCGAAAAAAAGGUUUGUGACCUCGAUG